This 402-nucleotide ribosomal RNA is filed under the name uncultured bacterium. RNAcentral describes it as "bacterial SSU rRNA". It matches the Rfam family "Bacterial small subunit ribosomal RNA", at positions 355 to 748 of the family's 1533-position model. The record is from RNAcentral.
UCGAGAAUCUUUCGCAAUGCCCGAAAGGGUGACGAAGCGACGCCGCGUGCGGGAGGAAGGCCUUCGGGUUGUAAACCGCUGUCGGGAGUUAAGAAAUGCAAGGAUGUUAAUAGCGUUCUUGCUUGACUAAGGCUCCGGAGGAAGCCACGGCUAACUCUGUGCCAGCAGCCGCGGUAAUACAGAGGCGGCAAGCGUUGUUCGGAAUUAUUGGGCGUAAAGAGCACGUAGGCGGCUGUGUAAGUCGGUUGUGAAAGCCUUCCGCUCAACGGAAGAACGGCAUCCGAUACUGCAUGGCUUGAGUGUGGGAGGGGAGAGUGGAACUUCUGGUGGAGCGGUGAAAUGCGUAGAUAUCAGAAGGAACACCGGCGGCGAAGGCGACUCUCUGGUCCAUAACUGACGCUG